Molecule: ribosomal RNA, 1109 nt
Filed under: Clostridioides difficile
Lineage: Bacteria; Bacillati; Bacillota; Clostridia; Peptostreptococcales; Peptostreptococcaceae
Description: partial 23S ribosomal RNA
Rfam family: Bacterial large subunit ribosomal RNA
Source: RNAcentral
UAUCGUAAUUGAAGAGGUUUGGAAAGACCCACCACAGAAGGUAAUAGUCCUGUAUGUUAAACGAGAAGACUUUAGAUAUGAUCCAGAGUACCACGGGACACGUGAAACCCUGUGGGAAGCAGGAGGGACCACCCUCCAAGGCUAAAUACUACCUAGUGACCGAUAGCGUAUAGUACCGUGAGGGAAAGGUGAAAAGAACCCCGGGAGGGGAGUGAAAUAGAACCUGAAACCCUGCACUUACAAGCUGUGGAAGCACAUUUCUUGUGUGACCGCGUACUUUUUGUAGAACGGGCCAACGAGUUACGUUAAGUAGCAAGGUUAAGCACUUAAGGUGCGGAGCCGUAGCGAAAGCGAGUUUUAACUGAGCGUUCAGUUACUUGACGUAGACCCGAAACCGGGCGACCUACCCAUGAGCAGGAUGAAGCGAAAGUAAAAUUUCGUGGAGGUCCGAACCCACGAGCGUUGAAAAGCUCGGGGAUGACUUGUGGGUAGCGGUGAAAUUCCAAUCGAGCCCGGAGAUAGCUGGUUCUCCCCGAAAUAGCUUUAGGGCUAGCCUCAAGGUGAGAGAUACGGAGGUAGAGCACUGAAUGUCCUAGGGGGUAUUGCACCUACCGAAGACUAUCAAACUCCGAAUGCCGUCAUCUUAUACUUGGGAGUCAGACUGUGGGUGAUAAGAUUCAUAGUCGAAAGGGCAACAGCCCAGAUCGUCAGCUAAGGUCCCUAAAUGUAAGUUAAGUGGUAAAGGAUGUGGGAUUGCACAGACAACCAGGAUGUUGGCUUAGAAGCAGCCACUCAUUCAAAGAGUGCGUAAUAGCUCACUGGUCGAGUGAUCCUGCGCCGAAGAUUUCCGGGGCUAAAACUUACUACCGAAGCUACGGCAUCAGUAAUGAUGGGUAGGGGAGCUUCCCAUACGGGUUGAAGCAUGACCGUAAGGACAUGUGGACAGUAUGGGAGUGAGAAUGUUGGCAUGAGUAGCGAGAUGUGGGUGAGAAUCCCACAGGCCGUAAACCCAAGGUUUCCAGGGGAAGGUUCGUCCGCCCUGGGUUAGUCGGGACCUAAGCUGAGGCCGAAAGGCGUAGGUGAUGGACAACAGGUUGAUAUUCCUGUAC